GACGAACGCUGGCGGCGUGCUUAACACAUGCAAGUCGAACGGAAAGGCCCCUUUGGGGGUACUCGCUUGGCGAACGAGUGAGUGACACGCGAGUAACCUGCCCUUGACUUCGGGAUAACUUCAUGAAACUGGGGCUAAUACCUGAUAGGUAUCCUUUCUGCCUGGUUGGGGGUGGAAAGCUUCUGCGGGUUUGGAUGGACUCGCUGCCUAUCAGCUUGCUUGUUGGGUAGUGGGUUACCAAGGGUUUGACGGGUAGGCGGCCUGGGAGGGCGAACGGCCAAAUUGGGACCGGGAUAAGGCCCAGAAUCCUACGGGGGGCAGCAGUUGGGAAUAAUGCAAAAUGGGGGGAAGGCCGAAGCCAGAAAGGCGGGUGGGGGAUGAAGGCCUUCGGGUUGUAAACCGCUUUCAGCAGGGGCGAAGCUUGUGGUGACGGUAACUGCAGAAGAAGCACCGGCUAACUACGUG
Molecule: ribosomal RNA, 465 nt
Filed under: uncultured bacterium
Lineage: Bacteria
Description: partial 16S ribosomal RNA
Rfam family: Bacterial small subunit ribosomal RNA
Source: RNAcentral